RNAcentral lists this ribosomal RNA (505 nucleotides) under uncultured bacterium. Its description in RNAcentral is "partial 16S ribosomal RNA". It matches the Rfam family "Bacterial small subunit ribosomal RNA", at positions 28 to 507 of the family's 1533-position model. The record is from RNAcentral.
GACGAACGCUGGCGGCGUGCCUAAUACAUGCAAGUAGAACGCACAGUUUAUACCGUAGCUUGCUACACCAUAGACUGUGAGUUGCGAACGGGUGAGUAACGCGUAGGUAACCUGCCUGGUAGCAGGGGAUAAAUAUUGGAAACGUUAGCUAAUACAGCAUGAUAUUGAUUAUUGCAUGAUAAUUGAUUGAAAGAUGCUAUUUCAUCAAUACCAGCUGGACCUGCGUUGUAUUUGCUAGUAGGUGAGGUUACGGCUCACCUAGGGGACGAUACAUAGCCGACCUGAGAGGGGGAUCGGCCACACUGGGACUGAGACACGGCCCAGACUCCUACGGGAGGCAGCAGUAGGGAAUCUUCGGCAAUGGACGAAAGUCUGACCGAGCAACGCCGCGUGAGUGAAGAAGGUUUUCGGAUCGUAAAGAUCUGUUGUAAGAGAAGAACGGGAGUGAGAGUGGAAAGUUCACACUGUGACGGUAUCUUACCAGAAAGGGACGGCUAACUACGUG